UAAUUGUAUCUAUUGCAAACAGGUGGUUGGAAGUGAGAGAGGAAUUGUUAGUCAAGAGCUGCCAUUCCGUUGUUCUGUUCCUCUUCUAAAAAAGCAUCAACAUCACCUGGGCAAUUUCCUCACCCCUCCCCACCAGGAACGUUUAAAGGAACUGUAUUAGCUGUAGAAGGUGUCCCAGAGGCUGCUGUUUCCUCAAGAGCAGGGUAUUCAUUUGUCACGUUGCUUGGUGGAACUGUGGUUGCAGAUGGACAAAUGAUAUUGCUGGAAUCACUUUCUCAUCCACUUUGACUUGUCACUCUGACCAGGU
This is a non-coding RNA of Struthio camelus australis, 307 nucleotides long. The record is from RefSeq and is a predicted model, not a curated record. Lineage: Eukaryota; Metazoa; Chordata; Aves; Struthioniformes; Struthionidae.